AACGAACGCUGGCGGCAUGCCUAACACAUGCAAGUCGAACGAGACCUUCGGGUCUAGUGGCGCACGGGUGCGUAACGCGUGGGAACCUGCCCUUAGGUUCGGAAUAACUCCCCGAAAGGGGUGCUAAUACCGGAUAAUGUCUUCGGACCAAAGAUUUAUCGCCUUUGGAUGGGCCCGCGUUGGAUUAGCUAGUUGGUAGGGUAAAAGCCUACCAAGGCGACGAUCCAUAGCUGGUCUGAGAGGAUGAUCAGCCACACUGGGACUGAGACACGGCCCAGACUCCUACGGGAGGCAGCAGGGGGGAAAUUUGGAAAAUGGGCGAAAGCCUGAUCCAGCAAUGCCGGGUGAGUGAUGAAGGCCUUAGGGUUGUAAAGCUUUUUUCCCCGGGAUGAUAAUGACAGUACCGGGAGAAUAAGCCCCGGCUAACUCCGU
Molecule: ribosomal RNA, 432 nt
Filed under: uncultured bacterium
Lineage: Bacteria
Description: partial 16S ribosomal RNA
Rfam family: Bacterial small subunit ribosomal RNA
Source: RNAcentral